UUGAACGCUGGCGGCGUGCCUAACACAUGCAAGUCGAGCGGUAACAGGUGUAGCAAUACAUGCUGACGAGCGGCGAACGGGUGAGUAAUGCUUCGGAAUCUACCCAAUGGUGGGAUAACAGCCGAAGGUUGGCUAAUACCGCAUACGUCCCACGGGAGAAAGCAGGGGAUCGCAAGACCUUGCGCCAAUGGAUGAGCCGAAGUCGGAUUAGCUAGUUGGUAGGGAACGGCCUACCAAGGCGACGAUCCGUAGCUGGUCUGAGAGGACGACCAGCCACACUGGGACUGAGACACGGCCCAGACUCCUACGGGAGGCAGCAGUGGGGAAUAUUGGACAAUGGGGGAAACCCUGAUCCAGCG
RNAcentral lists this ribosomal RNA (359 nucleotides) under uncultured bacterium. RNAcentral's name for it is "bacterial SSU rRNA". It matches the Rfam family "Bacterial small subunit ribosomal RNA", at positions 30 to 393 of the family's 1533-position model. The record is from RNAcentral.